GUUAUAAAAGAGUAAUCAUUUAUUUUGUGAUAUAUAAAAGUUAUGUUAGUAGUAUUAUUUAUUUCUUCAGUAGUAAAAAUAAAAGAAUUAGGAAAUAAUUUAUUUAUCUCUAUUUUGAUAAUCCUAGUAUUAAUAUAUUAGUACGUUGCGGUCUAAUGUAAGUGGUAAAUGGGGUGCCAGUAAUCACGGUUAUACCUCUACUUAAAUUUUAUUUGUGUAAUUAAAUAAAUAUUAUUAUUUUGGGACUAUGGUAAAAUAAAAACCCAAAAGGCAAUAAAAAUCACACCCAUUUAUAGAAUCGGAUUAGGUACCCGACUAUUAAGUAUAUAUAAAUUAAUAUUAUAUGUUUAUGAAUUUAAAAAAAUUAGGCGGUCCCUUUUAAAUUAGAGGAACUUGUUGGUUUUGAUCGAUAAUCCCCGAUAGUUUUUGAUAAUUUUAUUUUGAGUGUAUGUUCGUUUAAACUUGUAACAAUUAUUUAGUUUGAAAUUUCAGAUCCCAUGCCAAAAAAUUAUAAUUGGAUGAGUUACAAUUAUAAAAAUAUUUUUAAUUUAUUAAGUUAUUUUCAAAAGAGGAUUUAAAAGUAAAUAAGUUGAGGAAUAUAUAUGCAGAGAUAUAUCUUAUUGAAUAAAUUGUAGGGGAGUACUUACCGCCCGCCACUAAUUUUGAAAAUUAUUAUAAGGCGUAACAAGGUAUGCCUUCUAGAAAGAGGGCAUGGAU
Styela clava is the source of this 717-nucleotide non-coding RNA. The record is from the annotation of a RefSeq genome assembly. NCBI's taxonomy places the organism in Eukaryota, Metazoa, Chordata, Ascidiacea, Stolidobranchia, Styelidae.